AUGCAUCCAUAACAUGUAUAUUAGUCAUCUCAUUGAUUUUAGACUGGUACGCGCGUAGCUGACAAUAGAACUCAGCAUUUUUGGCUUAUUUGUACUAUCUUUCAGAGGUGUACUCCAUUUCUUCUCUUGUACGUACGUACUGCAACAAUGCUUGUACAUAUAUGUAACCUGCACCAGAAUAAUACAAUCAACUCAUACAUCAAAACUCCUUCUCCCUCUUUGUUAAGCAGCUAGCCAAGCCAAGCGGAUGUACUGCAUGAGCUCUCGAUCAGUUAAUUACUAUCCACUUUGCCCAGACCUAAAAGUUUGAAACACUGUGACCCCAUCACAAUUUUGCUUCAAGUUUUCAAGGAUAUGGCAUGGACUGGGUCGGCCAGCUACUUAUAGCUUCAAUCGGCCAUCACUUACAGGUACAUCAUAUUCUUUUUUCUUUUCUGCAAGCUGAUGAAGCUCAAUAUAUGAUAUUAAGUCUGGUAAUUUACUUGAGAUGUCGAGGUGAAAUAUUAUGUUCGAAGGUUGAAGGUUCCUUGACAAGAUCAGAAUUAAAUAUAUGUAACCAUUGAGCAGUGUCGAUCUCAUAUAUGAUAUAUCCCCGUGGUAGAAGAGACCACCCCGAUAACACCUCCACCACCGUCACCAUAUUUGUCCUUGACGAUCGAUCAGUACGUACACACUAACAACGUGAAAAUAUAAUAAGAAAAAACCGGUAUUAAGCAAUAAUUGGUACAAAAAUUCAACUAAAACCUCCCUUAUUUUUUGGUAAUCAAGAACGUGAAUUUUCAGAGAUGUGAUAAAAUUAAGAGAACCUCAUGCAUGGCAUGCGCGCAAAUUAAAAAACUACCAGCGUGGUAUUCAUGCAUGAAUAAAAAAUAAAAAAAUAAAAAAUAGAAACUGGGUAAGUUUAUUAUUAAUACUUUUGGAGCUAGCUAGGGCUAGCAAAGAUAUCACGUAUCACCGUGAAGGCCUCGUCUUCUAACUCUUUUUCUGGCUGUGAGCCCUGGAUGUAUAUAUACAUGUAUUAGUUUAUGUAAUAGUGUGAUAAUGUAACCAGUGUUGAAGUUUAAAUUACUGUUAGUUGAAUCGAGCGUAUAUUCUCUGCUAGCUGUGUUUUGGGGCAACCCAAUCAUACUACCCGACCUUCUAACUUUUUAUCUGGCUUUAUUGUUUUAGGUUAUAUCAAAACAAUCAAAUGGAGUUUGAUCGUGCGUUACCAGGACAAGCACUUUAGCCGAUGAAAAAGUUUUGUCGGUCUGUUAGCUUAAUUCGUCGGCUAAGAUCUUACCCGACGAUCCUUCGUUGGCUAUAGUUUCGUCGGAAAAGGGUGGAAUAUUGUUGCACACUAGAACGAGAAGGUUUCUUAAGAAUGUAUCUUUCUUAAUUAAGACAAAAUGUUACCAAUUGAUUUGAGUUAUAAAUCUCACUCUCAAUUUGGGUUAAUGUUUGAAUUCUUCUUGAGUGGAUUUGGAAUCAGUAAUGUUUAAAGAGGUUGUAAAAUAUUGAUAUGUGAUGAAUCUCGUUGACCAUCUGGAUUUGUCGACACAACACCUCGAUCAUGGGAUCGUGGCCUCAUGGGUGUUCACGUAUGUGGCUCCAGAUCAAUACACAUGAAAUCAAAUUAUUUUUGGUCUCAAUAAAACUUAAUUAAUAAGGCCACUAAGGCAGGAGAAACAUUACAAAGCUAGAAAACUAGAAAGAAACAAGAGCAUCUCCACUUGUGUAAGUAAAAUUAUAGUUAAAUUUAACUACAGUUAUUGAUUAUUGAAUUUAUUCCAACAAUUAUUUUUAUGUGUAAGUUAUGUGAGAUUUUUAACGAAUCAUAAACUGACACGUGGAUAAAAAAAAGGAGAAAAUAUAAGAUUUCCUUUAGACCCCCAAAAAUGCAGAUGAUGAACAUACCCUAGCUAGAAAAGAAAUCUGUGCAAAUGAGUUGAGUUUUUUGUUUUUG
Molecule: long non-coding RNA, 1945 nt
Filed under: Fragaria vesca (wild strawberry)
Lineage: Eukaryota; Viridiplantae; Streptophyta; Magnoliopsida; Rosales; Rosaceae
Description: long non-coding RNA (FVES_LNC000567)
Source: RNAcentral